UGGGGAAUAUUGCGCAAUGGCCUGACGGCUGACGCAGCGACGCCGCGUGUGGGAGGACGCCCCUCGGGGUGUAAACCACUGUUGCCCGGGACGAACCCGCAGUUUCGACUGCGCUGACGGUACCGGGUGAGGAAGCACCGGCUAACUCCGUGCCAGCAGCCGCGGUAAUACGGAGGGUGCGAGCGUUGUCCGGAAUCACUGGGCGUAAAGGGCGCGUAGGCGGCGCGGGCAGCGUGCGGUGAAAGCCCGGGGCUCAACCCCGGGUCGGCCGUGCGAACUCCCGGGCUCGAGCACUGUAGGGGCAGGCGGAAUUCCGGGUGUAGCGGUGGAAUGCGUAGAGAUCCGGAAGAACACCGGUGGCGAAGGCGGCCUGCUGGGCAGUGGCUGACGCUGAGGCGCGACAGCGUGGGGAGCAAACAG
This 420-nucleotide ribosomal RNA is filed under the name uncultured bacterium. Its description in RNAcentral is "bacterial SSU rRNA". It matches the Rfam family "Bacterial small subunit ribosomal RNA", at positions 355 to 775 of the family's 1533-position model. The record is from RNAcentral.